CAGAGUGAAAAGGCUGCCUAUUGUUUGUCAUUCUGGAAAAAGUAAAACUACAAGAACAGAAAACAGGGCUGUCAGGGGCUGGGGAUAUGAGGAGACGUUUGACUGUUAUUGGACCAGCUCUCUGUCACCCCGUGUGGAGAAAUCCGCCCCUGUGCUACUACAUGAGGGACCCCAGUCCCCUACACCCCUGCCACUGCACUUAGGUUGAAAAGAACCACUUGAGGAGCGUGACUCCCACCUGGAGAUGUAAAGAUGCACCUGCCUUAGCUGCCUUUCCUGUCCUCGAGAUUUCUCUCAUUUACCUGUUUCCAGCAGAGCGGAGGUAAAGCUAAAGCAAUCUUUUUUCUCCCCUGGCCAGCCUGAAAAGCUGCCCACGAACAGCCCCAUGGAGAUGUCAGCAGGUGUCAAGUACCUUUGUCACUUGGCCUGGGCAAGUGGAUUGUUAGCUUUUCAACCAUCCUACAACUGAAAGGAGAUUGGAAUAUUCUUUCCUCUCUAAUGAAAUAUGAAGUUAUAGUACUGCAAUCAA
Molecule: non-coding RNA, 529 nt
Organism: Heterocephalus glaber (naked mole-rat)
Lineage: Eukaryota; Metazoa; Chordata; Mammalia; Rodentia; Bathyergidae
Source: RefSeq, a predicted model, not a curated record